Molecule: non-coding RNA, 134 nt
Organism: Triticum urartu
Lineage: Eukaryota; Viridiplantae; Streptophyta; Magnoliopsida; Poales; Poaceae
Source: Rfam
GUAGUACUCCGUCCGCCCGGAAAUACUUGUCAUCAAAAUGAAUAAAAGGGGAUGUAUCUAAAUGUAUAUUAGUUCUAUAUACAUCUUUUUUAUCCAUUAAGAUGACAAGUAUUUUUGGACGGAGGGAGUACUUG